AGAGUUUGAUCCUGGCUCAGGAUGAACACUAGCUACAGGCUUAACACAUGCAAGUCGAGGGGCAGCAUGUUGGUUGCUUGCAACCAAUGAUGGCGACCGGCGCACGGGUGAGUAACGCGUAUCCAACCUACCCUUGUCCAUCGGAUAACCCGUCGAAAGGCGGCCUAACACGAUAUGCGGUUCUCAGCAGGCAUCUAACGAGAACGAAAUGUGAAGGAGAAGGAUGGGGAUGCGUCUGAUUAGCUUGUUGGCGGGGUAACGGCCACCAAGGCGACGAUCAGUAGGGGUUCUGAGAGGAAGGUCCCCACAUUGGACUGAGACACGGUCCGAACUACCUACGGAGGCGA
RNAcentral lists this ribosomal RNA (347 nucleotides) under uncultured bacterium. RNAcentral describes it as "bacterial SSU rRNA". It matches the Rfam family "Bacterial small subunit ribosomal RNA", at positions 8 to 351 of the family's 1533-position model. The record is from RNAcentral.